This 393-nucleotide unclassified non-coding RNA is filed under the name Hevea brasiliensis (rubber tree). Lineage: Eukaryota; Viridiplantae; Streptophyta; Magnoliopsida; Malpighiales; Euphorbiaceae. The record is from RNAcentral.
GCUGCGAGUUCAUGAGCAAGUGAAGAACUUUGGGAAAAAUAUUGAACUUCAUACAAGUACAGAACUGCUAGUGCUAGACUCCCCCAAUUCCUAUUCACAAGCAAUAAGUAUUAGCAGAAACUUUUUAACACAUUUAAACUACAAUUAUCAAUCAUGCAUCCCUGGCUUUAACACUGACUUCUGUAAGGGGUUGGAGAAGAGUCUUCGGGCUUGGAGGACGGGUACUGAACUUGCGAACCAAGAUCACAAAACAUGGCAGAAACACUAGAUAAAGUCCUGCUGUGAUGAAUGGUACAGCAACAAGCCAGCCCAACAUCGCACGGAAAAUGCUGAACAAGACUUCCUUUGAAGCCUCGCCAGAGAAGACUUUUUUUAGUGCAUCAGCAGUCAAAG